UUAAGCGACUAAGCGUACACGGUGGAUGCCCUGGCAGUCAGAGGCGAUGAAGGACGUGCUAAUCUGCGAUAAGCGUCGGUAAGGUGAUAUGAACCGUUAUAACCGGCGAUUUCCGAAUGGGGAAACCCAGUGUGAUUCGUCACACUAUCAUUAACUGAAUCCAUAGGUUAAUGAGGCGAACCGGGGGAACUGAAACAUCUAAGUACCCCGAGGAAAAGAAAUCAACCGAGAUUCCCCCAGUAGCGGCGAGCGAACGGGGAGCAGCCCAGAGCCUGAAUCAGUGUGUGUGUUAGUGGAAGCGUCUGGAAAGGCGCGCGAUACAGGGUGACAGCCCCGUACACAAAAAUGCACAUACUGUGAGCUCGAUGAGUAGGGCGGGACACGUGGUAUCCUGUCUGAAUAUGGGGGGACCAUCCUCCAAGGCUAAAUACUCCUGACUGACCGAUAGUGAACCAGUACCGUGAGGGAAAGGCGAAAAGAACCCCGGCGAGGGGAGUGAAAAAGAACCUGAAACCGUGUACGUACAAGCAGUGGGAGCACAGAGCAAUCUGUGUGACUGCGUACCUUUUGUAUAAUGGGUCAGCGACUUAUAUUCUGUAGCAAGGUUAACCGAAUAGGGGAGCCGAAGGGAAACCGAGUCUUAACUGGGCGUUAAGUUGCAGGGUAUAGACCCGAAACCCGGUGAUCUAGCCAUGGGCAGGUUGAAGGUUGGGUAACACUAACUGGAGGACCGAACCGACUAAUGUUGAAAAAUUAGCGGAUGACUUGUGGCUGGGGGUGAAAGGCCAAUCAAACCGGGAGAUAGCUGGUUCUCCCCGAAAGCUAUUUAGGUAGCGCCUCGUGAAUUCAUCUCCGGGGGUAGAGCACUGUUUCGGCAAGGGGGUCAUCCCGACUUACCAACCCGAUGCAAACUGCGAAUACCGGAGAAUGUUAUCACGGGAGACACACGGCGGGUGCUAACGUCCGUCGUGAAGAGGGAAACAACCCAGACCGCCAGCUAAGGUCCCAAAGUCAUGGUUAAGUGGGAAACGAUGUGGGAAGGCCCAGACAGCCAGGAUGUUGGCUUAGAAGCAGCCAUCAUUUAAAGAAAGCGUAAUAGCUCACUGGUCGAGUCGGCCUGCGCGGAAGAUGUAACGGGGCUAAACCAUGCACCGAAGCUGCGGCAGCGACGCUUAUGCGUUGUUGGGUAGGGGAGCGUUCUGUAAGCCUGCGAAGGUGUGCUGUGAGGCAUGCUGGAGGUAUCAGAAGUGCGAAUGCUGACAUAAGUAACGAUAAAGCGGGUGAAAAGCCCGCUCGCCGGAAGACCAAGGGUUCCUGUCCAACGUUAAUCGGGGCAGGGUGAGUCGACCCCUAAGGCGAGGCCGAAAGGCGUAGUCGAUGGGAAACAGGUUAAUAUUCCUGUACUUGGUGUUACUGCGAAGGGGGGACGGAGAAGGCUAUGUUGGCCGGGCGACGGUUGUCCCGGUUUAAGCGUGUAGGCUGGUUUUCCAGGCAAAUCCGGAAAAUCAAGGCUGAGGCGUGAUGACGAGGCACUACGGUGCUGAAGCAACAAAUGCCCUGCUUCCAGGAAAAGCCUCUAAGCAUCAGGUAACAUCAAAUCGUACCCCAAACCGACACAGGUGGUCAGGUAGAGAAUACCAAGGCGCUUGAGAGAACUCGGGUGAAGGAACUAGGCAAAAUGGUGCCGUAACUUCGGGAGAAGGCACGCUGAUAUGUAGGUGAAGUCCCUCGCGGAUGGAGCUGAAAUCAGUCGAAGAUACCAGCUGGCUGCAACUGUUUAUUAAAAACACAGCACUGUGCAAACACGAAAGUGGACGUAUACGGUGUGACGCCUGCCCGGUGCCGGAAGGUUAAUUGAUGGGGUCAGCGCAAGCGAAGCUCUUGAUCGAAGCCCCGGUAAACGGCGGCCGUAACUAUAACGGUCCUAAGGUAGCGAAAUUCCUUGUCGGGUAAGUUCCGACCUGCACGAAUGGCGUAAUGAUGGCCAGGCUGUCUCCACCCGAGACUCAGUGAAAUUGAACUCGCUGUGAAGAUGCAGUGUACCCGCGGCAAGACGGAAAGACCCCGUGAACCUUUACUAUAGCUUGACACUGAACAUUGAGCCUUGAUGUGUAGGAUAGGUGGGAGGCUUUGAAGUGUGGACGCCAGUCUGCAUGGAGCCGACCUUGAAAUACCACCCUUUAAUGUUUGAUGUUCUAACGUUGACCCGUGAUCCGGGUUGCGGACAGUGUCUGGUGGGUAGUUUGACUGGGGCGGUCUCCUCCUAAAGAGUAACGGAGGAGCACGAAGGUUGGCUAAUCCUGGUCGGACAUCAGGAGGUUAGUGCAAUGGCAUAAGCCAGCUUGACUGCGAGCGUGACGGCGCGAGCAGGUGCGAAAGCAGGUCAUAGUGAUCCGGUGGUUCUGAAUGGAAGGGCCAUCGCUCAACGGAUAAAAGGUACUCCGGGGAUAACAGGCUGAUACCGCCCAAGAGUUCAUAUCGACGGCGGUGUUUGGCACCUCGAUGUCGGCUCAUCACAUCCUGGGGCUGAAGUAGGUCCCAAGGGUAUGGCUGUUCGCCAUUUAAAGUGGUACGCGAGCUGGGUUUAGAACGUCGUGAGACAGUUCGGUCCCUAUCUGCCGUGGGCGCUGGAGAACUGAGGGGGGCUGCUCCUAGUACGAGAGGACCGGAGUGGACGCAUCACUGGUGUUCGGGUUGUCAUGCCAAUGGCACUGCCCGGUAGCUAAAUGCGGAAGAGAUAAGUGCUGAAAGCAUCUAAGCACGAAACUUGCCCCGAGAUGAGUUCUCCCUGACUCCUUGAGAGUCCUGAAGGAACGUUGAAGACGACGACGUUGAUAGGCCGGGUGUGUAAGCGCAGCGAUGCGUUGAGCUAACCGGUACUAAUGAACCGUGAGGCUUAACCU
This 2903-nucleotide ribosomal RNA is filed under the name Escherichia coli. Its description in RNAcentral is "23S ribosomal RNA". It matches the Rfam family "Bacterial large subunit ribosomal RNA". The record is from RNAcentral. Lineage: Bacteria; Pseudomonadati; Pseudomonadota; Gammaproteobacteria; Enterobacterales; Enterobacteriaceae.